UAAGGUGAACUUAGUUUACACAGAUUUGUAUAGCAAUAAUGUCCUAAAAAUCUUCUUCCCUCAAAUAACAAUGCCCAAAGCUCAGAUAUUUGGUAUGUAGAUUUACACAAAUCAUGCCUAUUUUGGUCAAAAUUAGCACAAAAUCGGCCUCAAGUUACAUAAUUUAUAUAGACUUGUAUAGGAAAAUACAUUUAAGUAUUUUAGCUCACCGGAGGACAAUGUCUUCAAAGUGAGCUACUGUGAUGGCCCAUUGUCCGUCAUCAAGCGUCCAUCCGUCCGUGCGUCAACAAUAUAUUUAAACAAUUUUUCCUCCUAAACCACUUGGCCACAAUUGUGGAAACUGUGCAGGGAUGUUCCUUAAAUCACUACCAAAGUUGUAUAAAUAAUUAUAUUCCAUAAAGAACUCUUGUUGUCAUGGCAACUGAAGGAUAUUUUUUUCAAAAAAAAUUAAAAAAUGUUCUUGUAAAAAAAACAAAAUAGCUAGAGCUAAGAUAUUUGGCAUGAAACAUCUUCUUAUGUAUGUCUACCACGUUUGUUCAAAUUAAACCCCUAGGGUCAAAAUUGACCCCACACCAGGGGGUCAUUGAUUUUCCUUAUAUGUAUGUAGUAAAAACUUCAAAAACUUCUUUUGACAAUCCAAAAGCAGUAUUGGUUAGAUAUUUGGCAUGAAACAUUUUCUUGUUAAUGCCUACCAAAAUUGUUCAAAUAAAAGCCCUAGGGUCAAAAUUUGUCCGGCCCCAGGGGUUGUUGAAUCUUCCUUAUAUGUAUAUAGUAAAAGCUUACAAAAUCUUAGUGUGAAAAUCCAAAAGAGGUACAUCUUAGAUAUUUGGCAUGAAACAUCUUCUAGUAAAUGUCUACCAAGUUUGUUCAAAUAAAAGCCCUAGGGUCAAAAUUGGCCCUGCCCCAGAGGUGUCAUUGAUUUUCUUUAUGUAUACAUGUAUGUAUAUACAGUGUAACUUCUGAAAACCGAACACCUGUGGGACUUGCCAAAAAGUUCGGAAUUUGGAAGUUUCCGGAAUUCAGAAGUUCGGAAGUAUCUGAACAAGUAGAAACAUUAGGUUAACAUUGAACAUCAAUUGUUUAAGAAAAGAUGAAAAAUAUAGGAAGCUUAUCAAAUUCAUAAAAUGGCAAAACUAUAGGACUUUUAAAAAGUUAUAACUACAUUGUGGUGUACGGACAUAAUCCCCUUCGGACAAAAUCCCCUUCAUGUAUUUUUAUGCCACCGCAGCAUCUGCGAUGCGGUGGCAUAUAGCGAUUCACCUGUGUGUGUGUUUGUUUGUGUGUGUGUUUGUGUGUGUGUGUUAUAUAGAUUAUAUAGUGAACUUAAAAAAUCUUCUUGUGAAAAACCACUAGUCCAAUUUCAACCAAACUUGGCAGGAUUGAUCCUUGGGUGAAGGGCUUCCAAAGUUGUUCAAAGAAUUACAUUCCAUGCAGAAAUCUGGUUGCCAUGGCAACCAUAUGAAAUUAUAAGAAUAAAUUAAAAAAAUCUUCUUGUAAAGACCCAAAAGGCCUAGAGCUUAGAUAUUUUGCAUAACGCAUUGUCUGGUAGACCUCUACCAAGACUGUUCAAAUUAUAGCCCUGGGGGUCAAAAUCGGCCCCGCCCUGGGGGUCAUUGAUUUUCACUAUAUGUACAUGUAGUAAAAACCUAAAAUACCUUCUUGUAAAGACCCAAAAGGCCUAGAGCUUAGAUAUUUUGCAUAAGGCAUUGUCUGGUAGACCCUUACCAAGAUUGUUCAAAUUAUAGCCCUGGGGGUCAAAAUCGGCCCCACCCCGGGGGUCAUUGAUUUUCACUAUAUGUUCACAUAGUAAAAACUUAAAAUACCUUCUUGUAAAGACCCAAAAGGCCAAGAGCUUAGAUAUUUUGCAUAAGGCAUUGUCUGGUAGACCUCUACCAAGAUUGUUCAAAUUAUAGCCCUGGGGUCAAAAUCGGCCCGCCCCGGGGUUCAUUGGUUUUCCUUAAAUGUAUAUAGUAAAAACUUAUAGUAAAAACUUUAAAAAAAUUUCUUCAAGCAAUUGACAAAUGCUGGAGGUUAGAUGUUUUGCAUGAAACAUUGUGAAGUGAACUUCUAGAAAGAUUGUUCAAAUUAUAGCCCUGGGAUCAAAAUUGCCCCCGUCCUGGGGGUCAUUGAUUUUCAAUAUAUACAUAUAGUAAAAAGUCAAAAAUCUUAUUGUCUGAAGGUACAAGGCUAAGAGCUUUGAUAUUUGUUAAAUAAUAUCAUCUAUAGGUACUCUACCAAAGUUGUUCAAAUUUUGCCUCUAGUGUCAAAAUUAGCCCCGCCCCGGGGGCAAUAGGUUUUCCUUAUAUGUAUAUAGUAAAAACUUACAAAAUCAUCUUCUCUAAAUUUACAAAGGCUAAAGUUAAGAUAUUUUGCAAGAAACAUUAUGUAGUGAACCUCUAGUAAGAUUGUACAAAUUAUAGCCCUGGGGUCAAAAUUGGCCCCACCCCCAGGGGUCAUUGAUUUUCACUAUGUACAUGUAGUAAAAAAUUAAAAAAUCUUCUUGUCUGAAGGUACAAGGCUUAGAGCUUUGAUAUUUGGUAUAUAAUAUCAUCUAUGAGUCCUCUACUAAAGUUGUUUUAAUUAUGCCCCUAGUGUUAAAAUUACACUCCCCCAGAAGCGAUAGUUUUCCUUAUAGAUAAAGUAAAAACUUGAAAAUCUUCUUCUCUGAAUUGAAAAAUCUUCUUCUCUGAAUUGACAAAGACUAGAGGUUAAAUAUAUGGCAUGAGACUUUGCAAAGUGAACCUUUACCAAGAUUGUUCAAAUUAUUGCCCGGGGGUCAUUGAUGUUCAUUAUGUACAUAUAGUAAAAGAUAAAAAAUAUUUUUGUCUGAAGGUACAAGGCAUAGAGCUUAUAAUGCGGUGGCAUAGCAUUUUUCUCAAAUGCAAUCUUGUUGUAUAUGCAGACAUAAUCCCCUUCAUGGGUGGACACAUUCCCCUUCAUGUGUGAAAUUUUGAAGUGGACAAAAGCCCCUUCAUAAAAUUGCUACCUAGGACAAAAUCUCCCUCAGAGGAAUUUUCGUUUUAUAAAGUAGGUAUGAGAGCGACAUACUGCAUUAUGCUGUGUACAUGUAGUAAAUAUCUUAAUGUAUAAAUAAGUAGAAAAUAUUUCAGCAGAAAUGCACAUUCAAUUAGCAACAUUUAAAUGACAUUAAAAUUGCUUUGUUAAAGCAUUCAUAUAAACAAUCAAUCAAGUAGUGCAGUGAUCUUGGUUUGAUUAAAAUAUCAUUCUUUCAUCAAUAGAAAUUGUAACAAUGGAUAGUAUAUAUCAUUAGAAUUAUCAACUUAUACAAUCAAUGAAACAAUUAUUGGCUAAUAAAAAUGUUUUUCAUACUAAUCAAUUUAAAACAAUUCAAGAAAUUGCCUAAUCAAAUAUGUGUUAUGCAGUUGAUAAUUUACCAUAAUUUUAAUGAAAACUUCUAAACUAAAUAAAGGUUAACUAUUGAUACAUAAUUAUAAAUAAAAAACAAAAGUUCAUUAUUCAUCAAUUUUUAGGGAGUAUAGUAAUACGUUAUUCAUCAAUUUUUAUGGAGCAUAAUAAUACAUUAGAAACCUAUGAAACAAGGGGAUUUUGUCCGGGUAGUGAAGGGGAUUUUGUCCAGCCUAUACAUUGUAUAUUCAAUUUCAUUUUCAUCUAUAACUGAUUCAAAAGCAUAAUUUCAUGUUGUACCAUCUCUUAAUAAACUAUAUUUUUUGUUUUUAAUCACAUUUGAAUAUACAUGUACUUCUCAUUUUUCAUUUUUCACACUUUAAUCAAGCUUGACAAGUUGUGAUUGUAAAAGGUGUCAAGAUAAAUGGUUUGCUGCUAAUUGGAACAUACUGACAUUUUGAAGGUUUUACAAUUUCAAUUAUAAUAUUCCUUCACGCCUUUUUCAAUGUCCGGAUUUUGGAAGUAAAUUUGAAUGAAUAUAACUUAAAUUUUAUCGGACAAUUGUUCGGAAUUCAGAAUUUAGAAGUUCAGAGGUAUUUAUUACAUAGAAAACAGGAGGAGAAAUUUCGGGAUUCUGAAAAAUGUUUGGAUUUCAGAAGUUUCCGGAUUUUAGAAGUUCCAGAAUUCAGAAGUUACACUGUCACUGUAGUUAAAACUUAAAAAAAUCUUCGUGUGAAAAUCAAAAGGAGCUAUAGCUUUGAUAUUUGGCAUAAAACAUUUUCUAGUGGAUGUCCACCAUGUGUGAUUAAAUGAAAGCCAUUGAGUCAAAAUUGGCCCGGCCCCAGGAAUCAUUGAUUUUUCUUAUUUGUAUAAUUUUUUAGCUCGACUUUUCGAAGAAUAUGAGAGCUAUUGUAGUCGCCCCGGCGUCAGCGUCCGCGUCGGCGUCUGCGUUGGUUAAAGUGUUUUGUAAAGUCAAAUAUCUCAAUUAUUGCUUGAGAUAUUCAAUUGAAACUUACAAUACUAAUUUAUAGUAACAAGGUACAUCAGAUUGACAAGUUAGAUAACUCUGCCUAUAAUAUUGACAGAAUUAUGCCCCUUUUUAACUUAGAAAUUUUUUUUGUUAAAGUUUUUUUGUAAAGUCAAAUAUCUCAAUUAUUGCUUGAGAUAUUCAAUUGAAACUUACAACACUUAUUUAUAGUAACAAUGUACAUCAGAUUGACAAGUUGGAUAACUCUGCCUACAAUAUUGACAGAAUUAUGCCCCUUUUUAACUUAGAAAUUUUGGUUAAAGUUUUUUGAAACCUCAAAUAUCUCAAGCAAUAAUUGAGAUAUUCAAUUAAAACUUACAAUGCUUUUUUAUAGUAACAAUGUACAUCAGUUUGCAAAAUUGCAUAACUAUGCCUGCAAUAUUUGCAGAAUUAUUUGCCCCUGUGAAACUUAGAAAUUUUGGUUAAAGGUUAAAGGUAUUCAAAGAUAUUUACUUGAAACUUUACACAUGUACUUAGGGUCAUAAUUGGAGAGUCAUAAUUGUAUGUCACUGACCAAGUUCCAUAACUCUACUCGCAUUUAGGUUGAUUCAUCUCCCCUUUUCUACUUAGUCUAUAGGUUAAUGUUUACAUGCAAGUUUUACAUAUAUCUCAAUAAGUAUUAAAGAUAUUUAUUUUAAACUUCACUUAUGCAUUUAGAAUUUAAUUGUAGGUCACUGACCUAGAUCCAUAAUUCUAUCUUGCAGUUAGGCUGAUUUUUCUCCCCUUUUUCAACUUAGAAAUUAAUGGUAAAGUUUUGCUUGUAAGCUGUUAUCUCCAUAACUACUGAAGAGUUUGUGUCUUUUUGGGACAAUUUUAUGCAUUCAUAAUAAUAAAGCCGUGAUUUACUUGAUAAAACAUCUUAAGAACAAGCCUUUGUACCUUUUCGGUCAAUUUUAUGUAUUCAUAGGUAACUAGCAUUAUUAUACUCAAUAAAACACCCUUGUGACAAAUUUUUGAAUAGUCGAGCCAAUACUGUCCUCCAACAGUUCUUGUUAUAAUGAAAAUUUAAAAAAUAUUUUUAUGAAAACCCAAAAGAUUUAGAGCUCUGAUAUUUAGCAUCAAACAUGUUCUAGUGUAUGUCUACUACAUUUGUUGAAAUAAACCCCUUAGGGUCAAAAUUGGCCUGCCUCAAAGGAAUCGAGGUUGACAGUUCAAUUCCCAGCCAGGUCAAUUUUGUUUGUUUUCCUUCUCUUUUGCUGUCAUCUUUUUAUUAGCUCACCUGUCACAAAGUGACAGGGUGAGCUUUUGUGAUCGCUUUUUGUCCGGCGUCCGUCCGGCGUCCGUACGUAAACUUUUGCUUUAAAUGACAUCUCCUCAUAAACCACUGAGUCAAUUUCAUCCAAACUUCACAGGAAUGUUCCUUUGGUGGUCACCUUUAAAAAUUGUUCAAAGAAUUUAAUUCCCUGCAGAACUCUGGUUGCCAUGGCAACCGAAAGACACCGAAACAACCCUAAGAGCUAGAGCUUAGAUAUUUGGCAUGAAACAUCUUCUAGUGACUGUCUACCAAGUUUGUUCAAAUAAAAGCCCUGGGGUCAAAAUUGGCCCCACCCCAGGGGGUCAUUGAUUUUCCCUAUAUGCAUAUAGUAAAAACUUAAAAAAUCUUCUUUUAAAGAACCCAAAGAGCUAGAGCUAAGAUAUUUGGCAUGAAACAUCUUUUAGUGAGUGUCUACCAAGUUUGUUCAAAUAAAAGCCCUUUUGGUCAAAAUUAGCCCCGCCCCGGGGGGUCAUUGAUUUUCCCUAUAUGCAUAUAGUAAAAACUUAAAAAAUCUUCUUUUAAAGAACCCAAAGAGAUAGAGCUUAGAUAUUAAGCAUGAAACAUCUUCUAGUGAAUGUCUACCAAGUUUGUUCAAAUAAAAGCCCUGGGGUCAAAAUUGGCCCCGCCCCAGGGGGUCAUUGAUUUUCUCUAUAUGCAUAUAGUAAAAACUUAAAAAAUCUUCUUUUAAAGAACCCAAAGACCUAGAGCUAAGAUAUUAAGCAUGAAACAUCUUCUAGUGAGUGUCUACCAAGUUUGUUCAAAUUAAAGCCCUGGGGUCAAAAUUAGCCCCGCCCCGGGGGGUCAUUGAUUUUCCCUAUAUGCAUAUAGUAAAAACUUAAAUAAUCUUCUUUUAAAGAACCAUAAGAGCUAGAGCUUAGAUAUUUGGCAUGAAACAUCUUCUAGUGAAUGUCUACCAAGUUUGUUCAAAUAAAAGCCCUUGGGUCAAAAUUGACCCCGCCCCAGGGGGUCAUAGAUUUUCCCUAUAUGCAUAUAGUAAAAACUUAAAAAAUCUUCUUUUAAAGAACCCAAAGAGCUAGAGCUAAGAUAUUUAGCAUGAAACAUCUUCUAAUGAGUGUCUACCAAGUUUGUUCAAAUAAAAGCCCGGGGGUCAAAAUUGGCCCCGCCCCAGGGGGUCAUUGAUUUUCCCUAUAUGCAUAUAGUAAAAACUUAAAAAAUCUUCUUUUAAAGAACUCAAUAAGCUAGAGCUAAGAUAUUUAGCAUGAAACAUGUUCUAAUGGGUGUCUACCAAGUAUGUUCAAAUAAAAGCCCUGGGGUCAAAACUGGCCCCUCCUGGGGGGGGGGGGGGUCAUUGAUUUUCCUUAUAUGUGUAUAGCAAAAACUUAAAAAUCUUCAUUGUUUUUAACUAUAUGUGUAUAGUAAAAACUUUAAAAAUCUUCUUUUCAUGUCUACCAAGUCUGUUCAAAUAAACAAAUAAAAGCCCUUGGGUAAAAAUUGGCCCGGGGGUGGGGGGGCAUAUAUACAGGUGAGGGACCUCAGGGCCAUCAUGGCCCUCUUGUUAGCUCACCUCUCACUAAGUGACAGGCUAAACUGUUUAAUAAAAUGGCUGCCAGAGCUAAAAUUAGCAAACAACAUCUAUACCACUGGUUUAAUUUUGAAAUAAUUUUACACAAAAAUUUCCUUGUUAACAGUGUGCAUAAAUGUUCAGAUUAAGCUGUCCCUUGUUUUCAAAUUGUGCUUCUGUGUUGAAAACGGGCUCCACUUUGACCUGUUUCUCAGGUGAGUGAUCCAGGGCCCUCUUGUUUCAUAAAACUUCAAUGCCAAGAGCUAAGAUAUUUGUCAUUAAGCAUUUAAUAGCAGACAUCUACAAAUAUCUGAAGAAUAAUGCAGCUUGGGUAAAAUAUAUUCAAGGCAGACAUUCCUGACUGACAUGGAAAAUAAAAAUUGUGACCUUUCCUAGCAAUAUAUCUCAGAACUUAGAAGGUGACGACCAUAAAUCAAUAAGACCAGAGCUGCUGUAUGUACGUGGGAGAAUGUUUAAACAAAAAUUAAACAUUGAUCAGGUAAAGUUAGCAAAGUGGUUCUCCCCCUAUGGUAAUGUGGAUGUGAAAGCAUAUGGCCAAAAUAAAGCAUUGGUUGCUACAUCAAAUCACUACUGUGCCAAAGAUAUUUUGCGAGCAUUUAAACAGCACAACACAAUCUAUGUGACAUAUUAUAGUGUAUGGAAACACUCACCAAUUGCCAGGGGACUUUUGUGGACAGGAGUUUUGCUAUCAGGAAGUGCUUGUGUUGUUGCCUUAUUGACUGGUGAUAAAAAAACAUGACCCAAAAGAGACUUAAUUAAAGGAAAAGACUUGAAUUCAUAUAAAAGUUUGGAAUUGACAGUAAAGAUUGAAUUAAAUUUAACAUAAAAGAGACUAAAUUUACAAAAAAGAGGGGGAAAAGUUUGAGAUUUUCUGACAAACUUAUUUUACUUGAGGAAACUUGCGUGACAGGAUAUGAAAAAUACAGUUACAGUUCAAAUUCUUAAAGCUCACAAUUGGAAAAAAAGCAAAAUGUCAGCUUUGGAAACAUUAGGCGUAAAUCAAAUGUCCAAACCAAUUCGGAUUAGGGGAAGUAAAGUCAUGCACAAUUUUCUUUGUCACCAUGUCCUUCUGUCUUGUCGACGUCAGAAGACUGACAAAAUAGUGGAAUGUGGAGGCAUCUGUGUCCUAUUUGUACAACAAAUUUAUUCAGAAAAACUCAAGACUGAAAUACUUUAAUGAGUAAAUAGUUUGAUUGCUUAAGAAAGUGACAUAUUGUAGCUAGUAUGACACACAAGAAUGAAUAAAUGUUUUUGCAGUGUCAAGCCGUGGUAGCAGGCUUUGAUUAAUAAAAUAUGUUGAUCAAAUCAUUGAAAUAGUUUAUGAACAUAAAGUAAAGAAAUUUGUUUUUAACUUUUUGUUGUUACCGGUUUUUAGAAAUUUUAUUUUCUUCUUUUUUGAAUAAAAUUCAAUAUCUCUUUCAUUAUGUUCUUUCUUUACACCACUCCAUGGUGUUUAUCGUUUAAAGUGUUACAGGGUAAAUGUACUUAAGAGGAGAAUUGCCAUCGACGGCGUAGAAUAUGAUAAACAAGAUCAACAAGGAAAGGCGGCGUCCAAUGAACGCAACCCCCAUACGAACCAGCGGCAAGUAGCCCAGAAGGACCCAAACAAAAACAGAAACAGGACAUGUUGUAAGGCAGAGCACAGACAGGCUUAUCACUAAAAUGAUACAUAAGAAGAAAUAAUAGUAACCUAAAAGGAAAUCAAAAUAAAAAAAAAACAAAUAAAUAAUUGAUUAAUAGGCCCACUAAGUAAAAGGGCACAGAGGAAGGGGAUAGGAGAUUCGGGGAAUGGGGGUGCAAAAUUAAAGUUUAUGCAUUUUGUCAGAUAUUUUCUUUAAAAAAAGUGCGUUGCCAUCUUAGAUACCUUGUAUGGUCAUCAAAGAUUUCAAGUAAACACCUGUUUGAUUUAAAAUGCCUUAUUUUAUUGACAUCAUUUGUUGAAAUUUUAACGAUUUGAAAUUACAACCGUAAAAUUAGAUAAAAAAAUGAUACUAAAAUCUUCCAAAAAGACAGUACUCCCAAAACUUAAUACUUUAAUUGUUUCUCCCGCUGUUUCCAUUAUAUACCUUAAAAAGAGGCA
Long non-coding RNA from Ruditapes philippinarum (Manila clam), 9271 nucleotides. RefSeq lists it as uncharacterized. The record is from RefSeq and is a predicted model, not a curated record. NCBI's taxonomy places the organism in Eukaryota, Metazoa, Mollusca, Bivalvia, Venerida, Veneridae. The transcript has 5 exons.